UGGGUUUGAUCCUGGCUCAGAUUGAACGCUGGCGGCAGGCUUAACACAUGCAAGUCGAGCGGAUGAAGGGAGCUUGCUCCUGGAUUCAGCGGCGGACGGGUGAGUAAUGCCUAGGAAUCUGCCUGGUAGUGGGGGAUAACGUCCGGAAACGGGCGCUAAUACCGCAUACGUCCUGAGGGAGAAAGUGGGGGAUCUUCGGACCUCACGCUAUCAGAUGAGCCUAGGUCGGAUUAGCUAGUUGGUGGGGUAAAGGCCUACCAAGGCGACGAUCCGUAACUGGUCUGAGAGGAUGAUCAGUCACACUGGAACUGAGACACGGUCCAGACUCCUACGGGAGGCAGCAGUGGGGAAUAUUGGACAAUGGGCGAAAGCCUGAUCCAGCCAUGCCGCGUGUGUGAAGAAGGUCUUCGGAUUGUAAAGCACUUUAAGUUGGGAGGAAGGGCAGUAAGUUAAUACCUUGCUGUUUUGACGUUACCAACAGAAUAAGCACCGGCUAACUUCGUGCCAGCAGCCGCGGUAAUACGAAGGGUGCAAGCGUUAAUCGGAAUUACUGGGCGUAAAGCGCGCGUAGGUGGUUCAGCAAGUUGGAUGUGAAAUCCCCGGGCUCAACCUGGGAACUGCAUCCAAAACUACUGAGCUAGAGUACGGUAGAGGGUGGUGGAAUUUCCUGUGUAGCGGUGAAAUGCGUAGAUAUAGGAAGGAACACCAGUGGCGAAGGCGACCACCUGGACUGAUACUGACACUGAGGUGCGAAAGCGUGGGGAGCAAACAGGAUUAGAUACCCUGGUAGUCCACGCCGUAAACGAUGUCGACUAGCCGUUGGGAUCCUUGAGAUCUUAGUGGCGCAGCUAACGCGAUAAGUCGACCGCCUGGGGAGUACGGCCGCAAGGUUAAAACUCAAAGGAAUUGACGGC
RNAcentral lists this ribosomal RNA (914 nucleotides) under uncultured bacterium. Its description in RNAcentral is "bacterial SSU rRNA". It matches the Rfam family "Bacterial small subunit ribosomal RNA", at positions 1 to 917 of the family's 1533-position model. The record is from RNAcentral.